Molecule: ribosomal RNA, 645 nt
Filed under: Triticum aestivum (bread wheat)
Lineage: Eukaryota; Viridiplantae; Streptophyta; Magnoliopsida; Poales; Poaceae
Description: partial small subunit ribosomal RNA
Source: RNAcentral
AUGUUCUUUACCAUUUGGUGGAAAGGUUGUCGUCUUUGGUGGCGAUUUCAAGCAGGGACAAGAGCACAGAUCACUGAUGCUACACUGUUGAGAUCCUAUCUGUGGCAGAAGAUCCGCAAGAUACGCCUCACACGCAAUAUGCGGGCACAGACAGACCCUUGGUUCUCGGAAUACCUCCUACGGAUCGGCGAUGGGACAGAAGAAACAAUUGGCGACGACUAUGUGCAUCUCCCUGAAGACAUUGUGAUUGCUUAUACCGACGAUGAUGAACCUAUUAACAAGCUUAUCAAAGAUGUCUUCCCAUCCCUGCACACCAAUGCUAGGUCGAGAGAGUACAUGAGCACACGUGCAAUUCUCUCGACCAAAAAUGAGCAUGUAGAUGACCUGAAUGACAAGAUGAUCUCUAGGUUUCCGGGCGAAGAAAAGGUGUACCAUAGCUUUGACUAUAUCGAGGAUGACUUCCAGAAUAAUUACACAAUUGACUUCCUGAACUCGAUCACACCAAAUGAGUUGCCCCCGCAUGUCUUGAGAGUAAAAAUCAACUGCCCGGUCAUUUUGCUACGGAACCUCGACCCUCAUAAUGGGCUAUGUAAUGGAACACGGCUUAUGAUCAGGGCCUUCCAGGAUAAUGCAAUCAAUGCAUAG